RNAcentral lists this transfer RNA (72 nucleotides) under bacterium. RNAcentral's name for it is "tRNA-Arg". It matches the Rfam family "tRNA". Rfam says of the family: Transfer RNA (tRNA) molecules are approximately 80 nucleotides in length. Their secondary structure includes four short double-helical elements and three loops (D, anti-codon, and T loops). Further hydrogen bonds mediate the characteristic L-shaped molecular structure. tRNAs have two regions of fundamental functional importance: the anti-codon, which is responsible for specific mRNA codon recognition, and the 3' end, to which the tRNAs corresponding amino acid is attached (by aminoacyl-tRNA synthetases). tRNAs cope with the degeneracy of the genetic code in two manners: having more than one tRNA (with a specific anti-codon) for a particular amino acid; and 'wobble' base-pairing, i.e. permitting non-standard base-pairing at the 3rd anti-codon position. The record is from RNAcentral.
CUCCCUGUCGUUCAAUGGAUAGGAUAUCUCCCUCCGAAGGAGGUGAUGCAGGUUCGAUUCCUGCCAGGGAGA